RNAcentral lists this ribosomal RNA (306 nucleotides) under Triticum aestivum (bread wheat). Its description in RNAcentral is "partial small subunit ribosomal RNA". The record is from RNAcentral. Lineage: Eukaryota; Viridiplantae; Streptophyta; Magnoliopsida; Poales; Poaceae.
AUGGUAGCGUUAAACGUUUCAAAUCGCACUAUCCCUACAAGACUAAAAUGUGUUGUGCAACACGAACAAGACGAUGAUGACUACCGGAUCCAGACUUCAAUUCGUGAGCUCCAACUUUUGUUUGGGAUAUCCUUCAUGCGAUUUAUUCUGCCAAUGGAUGUGGAUGCGGCCAAUUUCAAGGCCCUACGUUUUUUUAUUGUACUCAGGAGUGAGGUGUUAGUAACGUUGACAUAUCGUAAGGCAAUCCAUGAAACAUGUGUACGUCUGCUUAUAUUGGAGGAGAUCAACAUUGUGUUCACUCAUUAA